CGGGGCUCUGUUUCUGUAACUGGGGUGACUGGGCUAACUGUGAUUGGUUAGGCUUCCCUCCGCUUGACUGCACUGUCCCGCUUCUGUAACCUGGCUUGCUUGCAUUGGCUAGACCCCCUGAACAUCCCUUUUGCAGUUUUCAGGCUUAUAAGGAGUGCCCUUGCAAUUGUUCAGGGCUGAUCAGGGGAACAGCUUUAUGUUCUGGUCAGCCACCACCGGUGUGCUUCAAUAAAGGCUUGAUUCGAUUAU
Molecule: long non-coding RNA, 249 nt
Filed under: Marmota monax (woodchuck)
Lineage: Eukaryota; Metazoa; Chordata; Mammalia; Rodentia; Sciuridae
Source: RNAcentral